CAUGCAAGUCGACGAUGAUUAUCUAGCUUGNUAGAUAUGAUUAGUGGCGGACGGGUGAUUUACAUUUAGGAAUCUGCCUAGUAGUGGGGGAUAGCUCGGGGAAGGUCGAAUUAAUACCGCAUACGACCUACGGGUGAAAGGGGGCGCAAGCUCUUGCUAUUAGAUGAGCCUAAAUCAGAUUAGCUAGUUGGUGGGGUAAAGGCCCACCAAGGCGACGAUCUGUAACUGGUCUGAGAGGAUGAUCAGUCACACCGGAACUGAGACACGGUCCGGACUCCUACGGGAGGUAGCAGUGGGGAAUAUUGGACAAUGGGGGCAACCCUGAUCCAGCCCUGCCGUGUGUGUGAAGAAGGCCUUUUGGUUGUAAAGCACUUUAAGUACGGAGGAGAGGCUAAUGGUUAAUACCCAUUCGAUUAGACGUUACUUGCAAAAUACGUACCGGCUUACUCUGUGCCCUGUCCCCGCGGUAAUACAGAGGGUGCCAGCGUUAAUCGGAAAUUAUUGGGCGUAAAAGCGAGUGUAGGUGGCUCAUUUAAGUCAUAUCGUGAAAUCCCCCGGGGCUUAACCUGUGAACUGCUGUGAUACUGGGGGUGCUAGAUAUGUGAGAGGGGANUAGAAUUCCACGUGUAGCGGUGAAAUGCGUAAAGAUCUGGAAGAAUACCG
RNAcentral lists this ribosomal RNA (663 nucleotides) under uncultured bacterium. RNAcentral's name for it is "bacterial SSU rRNA". It matches the Rfam family "Bacterial small subunit ribosomal RNA", at positions 54 to 711 of the family's 1533-position model. The record is from RNAcentral.